GGACUCAGAACAGGAACUGUGUUAGGGAUAAAAACCCCUGCCCUACCUGGCUAGGUGUGCUCUUGUGAUUGUGACUGACACAGGCAGCACCCUUUUGCAGAAGUAGAUGUGCGUUGCUGAGAAAUUUUCUGCCUAAGUUCUGGUUUUCUUUGCAGCACCCAGCAUUUGUUUCUAACACAGGGAAAGAGUGAGCUGGAGAAACCUCUCAAAUUCAAGAAAGCGUAAAGCAAAUUGAACAAUACGGGUGAGGAGCACGGACUAUUCUCUCAUGUUGAAUGUGGCACUUUUUACAUACAAGCAGGAGAGCAACUACACCAAGAUUUUGGAAAACAUGUUAUGUAAGGUUAAUUGUGACCUCUAUGAUGGGGAUAUGAUAAAGAAGAAAAGUACCUCACAGCGAUGAUUGGCAUGUGAUCACUUAGCCAAUGAGAUAAGAGGCUGUAGAAACGAUGUGAUAAUGACAUCUCCUGAGUUGCAGGUCCAUAUUAGAAGUGGAUAUGAAGUAAACAUUGAGCUUUCCUCACAUUUAAUUAACAAGCUUUAUUAUAGAUACAGCUCAAAUUAGUUAAUUCAGGAAGCUUAUUUUGUAGAAAUUAAAACAUUAAUAAACACAUACAUUUAGAAAUAAAGAACUCGGCUGACCCUUUGACUCUUUGAAACAAGUGGCCUUCCAUGCUGUGAAAGAUUGUAGCCACUCUUUGAGACAUUGGAAUGGUGUCCAUUGCAUUUUAUCAAGUUAACUAUAGGUCAGCCUGGGAAAUCUGAAGUUUCCUUAUCUCCUGUCACUGUGGUUGCUGUGAGAUUUUGUGUCAUCACUGUGCUGUCUUCCCUCUCCACAUGAAGGUGAGCUGUCUGGCUUCACUCUAACGUUUGUGAUUUCACGCCCGACCUGAUUGUUGCCAAGCAAUUCCUUUGUUUGGAGAAUUCUGUGCUUUGUUUAGAAUUUUUUAAAGGUUCUUUUCCUGUGGUCAGAUUUCUGUUUGCUACUGUGUCUUAUGCCUUGUUCUCCUACAGAGAAGAUUCUUUGAAGUUAGUGGAAGCUCAGCUUAAAGGAAGAUCUACUGCUCUGUGUGGUGGAUGACCAUGGGGGAGCGAGAAGGCAGCCUCCGGCUUUUGUUUUGUGUGUGUGUGUGUGUGUGUGUGUGUGUGAUGUACCUGGAAAAAUAACACGACUAGGAUUAAAGAGUAUGUUUGGCAUGUUUAAAAUAAAUUGUAAACCAAACGUAUUUUAAAGAAUUUAUACAAAUUUGUCAUUUAGUAAAAUGAAUGACUAUUGAGUAUUCAUGUCAAUAAAACAACCACUUGAAUACAACAAAGCAUGCGUUGCGCAUGUUUCUCCCACUGUUUUUCUCCAUCUAUAACCUCCCUACUCAUCAGUUUGAGAUUUUUUAUAUGGAAUAAGUGUGGUUCUUGCAAGGAAAUUAUCUUUAGAAUAAGGAUAAAGUAUUUAAGAAUAUGUACUUAAAACUUAGCAAACCCAUUGGAAAAUGAUCCAGAAAAAUGGUAUUCAGAGAUAAAAAUCAGAAUGUGUUUGGGAGAAGAGCACUGACGAAGGUUGGUGUAUGUGGCAUGUAAAUAAUACAUUGAUUUAGAUGGACUUUUACUAUGGGGGAAAGCUCAUCAAGCCUCACGUAAUGAGUUAGUGUCUACCCUUUUCUUUGAAAAUUUCAUUUUCAUUACAAUGGGUUUUGGGCAUUUGUACUUUGUUAUCUCUUCAAGUUCAUACAAUUAAAGUGGAACUCGACUUCUUUUGCUUGGAGAUACUAAAAAUUCUGUGCAGUGGAAGGAACUGUGACCUUUCUUAAAUGGGUCCAUCUUCUAGCUCAAAAAAAUAAUUCUUAGAUGGUGCUUUAACGCCUAGUUUUAGUGCAAGACAGAUUGUCAGGGUAAUAAAUUAAAGGCACCUCACUGCAGCGCUGUUGGCCAAUGUUCUACCACAGGCCCAUAUUAAUAUUUUAUUCCCUUUAAUAUUAUUACAUGAUGCAGGCUUUAUUUAAAUGGAUUUGAUGGGUCUCUUGGUUGGCUUGACAACCAGAGGGAAAAAUUAAUGUUCUGCAUUUAAUCUCAGCUCAAGGCACUAAAUUAUUUUGGAGGUCAAAAUCGUCAUGCAUAUCAUGCUAAAUUAUUGAAUGUAAUAACUAUUAGCUAGCUGUCUACUUAUGGGUUUUAAAAAUUGUUUACUUCAUGCAUCUUGAGCUAAUUUUAAAGUAAAUCCCUCUUUUAGUUUUUUCCCUCCUAUAUGCCACUAUUAUCUUAGCCCUUGCAAUUGUGAUAAUAUAACUAAUGGAAGAUGCCAGGUGCCCUUCUUGUAAGUGAAAUCUAACUGACUAAAUGUUAAUAAAUCGCCAAAAGCAUUCCUCCUUUUGCUGGUUCCAUCUUCAUAUGAAGUUCAAGUAUGUUAAGAGAAAUAGUCAUUUUGUUGUAAUGGAAGCUAUUAUCUUAUUUAAAAAAAUCACAUAAUAUUUUGCCAAAAA
Long non-coding RNA from Homo sapiens (human), 2474 nucleotides. Ensembl annotates it as long intergenic non-protein coding RNA 1612. NCBI's taxonomy places the organism in Eukaryota, Metazoa, Chordata, Mammalia, Primates, Hominidae. The record is from Ensembl.